Molecule: ribosomal RNA, 698 nt
Filed under: uncultured bacterium
Lineage: Bacteria
Description: bacterial SSU rRNA
Rfam family: Bacterial small subunit ribosomal RNA
Source: RNAcentral
AGAGACUGGGAUAACACCUGGAAUCAGAUGCUAAUCCCGGAUAACAACACUAGACGCAUGUCUAGAGUUUGAAAGAUGGUUCUGCUAUCACUCUUGGAUGGACCUGCGGUGCAUUAGCUAGUUGGUAAGGUAACGGCUUACCAAGGCAAUGAUGCAUAGCCGAGUUGAGAGACUGAUCGCCCACAUCGGGAGUGAGACACGGCCCAAACUCCUACGGGAGGCAGCAGUAGGGAAUCUUCCACAAUGGACGAAAGUCUGAUGGAGCAACGCCGCGUGAGUGAAGAAGGGUUUCGGCUCGUAAAGCUCUGUUGGUAGUGAAGAAAGAUAGAGGUAGUAACUGGCCUUUAUUUGACGGUAAUUACUUAGAAAGUCACGGCUAACUACGUGCCAGCAGCCGCAGUAAUAUGUAGGUGGCAAGCGUUGUCCGGAUUUAUUGGGCGUAAAGCGAGUGCAGGCGGUUCAAUAAGUCUGAUGUGAAAGCCUUCGGCUCAACCGGAGAAUUGCAUCAGAAACUGUUGAACUUGAGUGCAGAAGAGGAGAGUGGAACUCCAUGUGUAGCGGUGGAAUGCGUAGAUAUAUGGAAGAACACCAGUGGCGAAGGCGGCUCUCUGGUCUGCAACUGACGCUGAGGCUCGAAAGCAUGGGUAGCGAACAGGAUUAGAUACCCUGGUAGUCCAUGCCGUAAACGAUGAAUGGUA